Molecule: unclassified non-coding RNA, 281 nt
Filed under: Papiliotrema perniciosa
Lineage: Eukaryota; Fungi; Basidiomycota; Tremellomycetes; Tremellales; Rhynchogastremaceae
Description: Papiliotrema perniciosus partial contains 5.8S ribosomal RNA, internal transcribed spacer 2, and large subunit ribosomal RNA
Source: RNAcentral
CGCACCUUGCGCCUUUUGGUAUUCCGAAAGGCAUGCCUGUUUGAGUGUCAUGAAAUCUCAACCCCAUCUGGUUUAUGAUCAGUUGGGGCUUGGACAUGGGCGUCUGCCGGUUACACGGCUCGCCUCAAAUGACUUAGUGGGAUCGCUAGCAUCCGUGACAGACGUAAUAAGUUUCGUCUUGUCCCUUGCGUGCGUCAAGCCUGCUCAGAACACCGCUUGCCUCUGUGCAACACUUUUUUGACUCUGACCUCAAAUCAGGUAGGACUACCCGCUGAACUUAA